ACGGAAGGCAGCAGUGAGGAAUAUUGGUCAAUGGGCGGGAGCCUGAACCAGCCAAGUAGCGUGGAGGAUGACGGCCCUACGGGUUGUAAACUCCUUUUGCCGGGGGAUAAAAAACGGGACGUGUCCCGUCUUGCAGGUACCCGCGCGAAUAAGGACCGGCUAAUUCCGUGCCAGCAGCCGCGGUAAUACGGAAGGUCCGAGCGUUAUCCGGAUUUAUUGGGUUUAAAGGGUGCGUAGGCGGGACGUUAAGUCAGUGGUAAAAGCGUGUGGCUCAACCAUACCAAGCCAUUGAAACUGUCGUUCUUGAGUGUAAACGAGGUAGGCGGAAUGUGACGUGUAGCGGUGAAAUGCUUAGAUAUGUCACAGAACCCCGAUUGCGAAGGCAGCUUACCAGCAUACAACUGACGCUGAGGCACGAAAGCGUGGGUAUCAAACAGGAUUAGAUACCCUGGUA
This 454-nucleotide ribosomal RNA is filed under the name uncultured Porphyromonadaceae bacterium. Its description in RNAcentral is "partial 16S ribosomal RNA". It matches the Rfam family "Bacterial small subunit ribosomal RNA", at positions 341 to 792 of the family's 1533-position model. Lineage: Bacteria; Pseudomonadati; Bacteroidota; Bacteroidia; Bacteroidales; Porphyromonadaceae. The record is from RNAcentral.